UCCAAGAUCCAACCAUUUCCAAUUCCCCAAAUGAAACUGGCGAAGCUCGUCGAUCAUCUCCCUGCCAUCGCAGCUUCGAGACAGCACAAAAACGACCGGAAGUAGCAAACCUCACCUGCACGAUUCGAUUUCCACUUGAGCGCAGUAGUCCUGGAAAAUAGCCACGUUCUUUUCUUGCGCGGCAGAGGUACAUGGGUACAGCUUCAUCGCUUCCACGUCGGGCGUUGAUCUAGGGCACUCGCCGCCUCCAUAACCGCUAUUGAUGCCAAGGAUGGCGAGGCAUUACAGGACGAGCAGGGCUUUGAGGUCUUGAGAAGGGUAAGGUACUGCAAACACUGCCAGAAGCAUGUUGCAAGCUUCAACCACCAUUGCCUUGCUUUUGAGAAUUGUAUAGACUGUUAUGGAUCGUCUACAAUGGUGAAUGAUCGCAUCAGGUAGAAAUUUUCAAGAGAAGAAAUAUCAAAACUUGUCUCGGACUCUCGUACAGAAAUAUUCUCACGGUUAUUCAUGAUGGGAAGAGCUUAUCUUGUUUUUUGAAGUCUCAAGCUUGUUGGCCAACACACAAUCCGAAGGAUGAACUCUCCAACUAUGAUGAUUAUUGUCGCUUGAGGUCUAAAAGAGUUUGGUAUCUUAAAGGCUUCCCAAUGCAUGUAUUCAAAUGGUGAUUCCAGAGCAUGAGAAAGAUUCGGGGAGAAGUAAAGAGCCAGAAGAUCUUCGCCAUUUUAUUAAUGCAAAGAAAAAUACCAACCACCUUCAUUAUUCAAAGCCUUGGACGUCAUCAUCUCCUCCCUCUCUUCUCAUCAUCACCCUACUGUGAGGUUUCGCAGACAGAAACAUCCUGUUAUUUUGGAAUGCUCAAAUGUGGAAUCGGAGAACUCAGAAUCUGAGUCUUCUUCUCAGGAAAAUCACUCGGACUCAUAUUAUUUGGGAUAUUCAAAUCUUUUUCCAAUUCAAUUCUUGAUGAAAGUUGUCUUCCCUUUCUGAUGGCUCCCUCGGUCUCAAAGCCUCUUCCUUCAACUCGGAACUGCUGUAUUGCA
Andrographis paniculata is the source of this 1037-nucleotide long non-coding RNA. RefSeq lists it as uncharacterized. The transcript is spliced from 4 exons. The record is from RefSeq and is a predicted model, not a curated record. NCBI's taxonomy places the organism in Eukaryota, Viridiplantae, Streptophyta, Magnoliopsida, Lamiales, Acanthaceae.